RNAcentral lists this long non-coding RNA (2086 nucleotides) under Canis lupus dingo (dingo). RNAcentral describes it as "lncRNA (ENSCAFG00020001853.1)". The record is from RNAcentral. Lineage: Eukaryota; Metazoa; Chordata; Mammalia; Carnivora; Canidae.
CGUGGCCUCGAAGAGGGGCGGGGCUCACGGACGGGGCUCAGGACGGGGGCGGGGCCUCAGAGAGGGGCGGGGCCUCGCGGGUCGGGGGCGGGGCCUCGCGGGCCGGGGGCGGGGCACCCUCCGUCCGGGGCGCGAGCCCAGCGGGUGCGCCCGCGCAUGCGCAGGCGGCGCGGCCGUCGCGGUCUCCGGUGCCCGCGGCGUCCGUGGCCCGGCGCCCCCGUCCCCGCCACCUGUGCCCGCGCGCCGAGGUCCGCGAGGGGGCGCCGCCGAGGUGGGGGCGGGGCGGCCGGCCGGGAGCUCCGGGGCCCGGCGCGGGCGGCGGCGGCGGCGUCAUGGCGGCCAUCCCGUCCGGCGGCUCGCUCGUGGCCACGCACGACUACUACCGGCGCCGCCUGGGCUCCGCGUCCGGUAACAGCGCGUGCGGCGGCGCCGACUGCGCGGGGGAGGCCGCCCCGCAGCGCCCCGGCGAGGGCAGGCCCCCCACGGCCGCCGCGGGCCCCUGGUGGGCCGGCUUCUUCUCCGGGAGGUCCGCGCUCGCGUCCACGGCCACCGUGCUGCAGUCGCCGGCGCGGUGAGUGCUCGGCCGGGCGCGGGCGGGCGGGGGGCGGGCGGGCGCCUCUGAGCCAGGCUCUCCCCCAGCCCGCAGCCUCCCCAGGCCUCCGGCGGCGCCGGCACCGGCGACUCGGCCCUGCGAGCCGCGAGGAAGCAGCCCGGGCGCCAGCCUGGCCAAGCCGACCCCGGGCCGCCGUCCUGAGCGCCAGCACCGCUUCCGAGGCUUCCGAGGCUUCCGAGGCUUCCGAGGCGCCCGGCUCGUCGGGGGGCCUGGCUCACCCCCUCCCUCCCCUCCCCUCCCCUCCCCUCCCCUCCCGCCCUGCCCUAGGGACCAGGCAGGCUGCGGCGAGCACAAGCUGUUGGGUUCUUUUGUAUCAAAAUAGCACAACACCAAAAAGGAAGUUGAGAGAAUCCCACUCUUUACUGUCCAAGCCGCACGCGAGCCUUCCCGACACCCUGGAACUGUGUGCCUUGCACCAAGUGGAAAAUAAACUCCAAGCAGCCAGUGGCCCUGGUGGUGUGCGUGAGCUCUGAGCCGUGUGCCCCGGGGCCUGGGGUUGAAGUCACCAGACCCUUCUCAGCCUCACUUCCUGGCGGGGGCGAGGAGCUGGCCUUGCUCCCUGGGCCGUCCCCCGGCCCCUCACUGGGGAGCCCCCUGCCAGGUCCGGCCCAGGCUGAGGCCGGCAAGCUGCUUCCACAAGUGUGGGGCCUUGGCUGCUGAGGGGGUGGGAGCCGGGGAGAGCAGGCUCAGGAGUUGGACAGGGAGCCUCCCCUCAGGGCCCUGGGCUAGAGGGAGCUGUGCCCCUGCCCCCCACUCGUGACUGCAGGGAGGGAACAGGGCCAGACUGUCUCCAGGAGCCUUCCUAUAACGGUGGUGCCUCUUCUAGGCCGUUGUGGGACACGUCCUGGGUACAGGGAGCCAAAACUAACGCUGAGUGGCAAGGGGGUAAAGGGGUGUCCCAUUCCUCACAGGUGACCCAGCUGUGGACCAGCUCCAACCAGGGACCUGGGGAGCCUGUGCUCGUGUCCUCCUGGGCGGGCGGGCCGGUGCACAAGCAGUGCCCACACACCGCAGCGGCCAGCGCAGAUUGGCCCGGCUGUGCUGGUCAGGAGAGGGCAGCCUCGGGAGGGAGGUCAGGGGCUCUGCUGGCUGCGCUCCUGCCCCUCUUCCCCGUAGUGGGCUAUAAAUAGCUGCGCACCAGCAAUCGCAGGUGUGGGCAGAGCCUGCGGUUCCCUGGGGCUGCAGCCCCGUCCUGUCUGCUCUGUCCAGGCAGGAGGCUGGCUAGGGAGGCCAUCCCCACCUCAUCAGAUGGACCCAGGGUGGGAUAGGGGCCCCAGAGGGUCGCCUGAGAGCUGCUCGGGCUGUGUCCAGAUGAGGCCCUCCAGCUGCUGAUUGCCAUGGCAGGAAGGCAGGGACGGCGCCCAGCCCCGGCUGGCAGACAGCAGAGCCCCAUGAGCCAACAGUCCGUCCUGGGAAGUCUCUGUCCCUCCCCCCCCAGUCAGGAGGAGGCUUGGGCCACAUGGCACAGGGUGA